AACCUCCGCAAUGUGAGAAAUCGCGACGGGGGGAUCCCAAGUGCCAUUCUUAACGGGAUGGCUUUUCAUUAGUGUAAAGAGCUUUUGGAAUAAGAGCUGGGCAAGACCGGUGCCAGCCGCCGCGGUAACACCGGCAGCUCUAGUGGUAACAAUUUUUAUUGGGCCUAAAGCGUCCGUAGCCGGUUUAAUAAGUCUCUGGUGAAAUCCUGUAGCUUAACUGUGGGAAUUGCUGGAGAUACUAUUAGACUUGAGACCGGGAGAGGUUAGAGGUACUCCCAGGGUAGAGGUGAAAUUCUGUAAUCCUGGGAGGACCGCCUGUUGCGAAGGCGUCUAACUGGAACGGUUCUGACGGUGAGGGACGAAAGUUAGGGGCGCGAAACCGGAUUAGAUACCCGGGUAGUCCUAACUGUAAACGAUGCGGAUUGGUGUUGGGGUGGCUUUGAGCUGCUCCAGUGCCGAAGGGAAGCUGUUAAGUCCGCCGCCUGGGAAGUACGGUCGCAAGACUGAAACUUAAAGGAAUU
Molecule: ribosomal RNA, 521 nt
Filed under: uncultured bacterium
Lineage: Bacteria
Description: bacterial SSU rRNA
Rfam family: Archaeal small subunit ribosomal RNA
Source: RNAcentral